RNAcentral lists this transfer RNA (74 nucleotides) under Streptomyces litchfieldiae. RNAcentral's name for it is "Streptomyces sp. DSM 44938 tRNA-Leu". It matches the Rfam family "tRNA". Rfam says of the family: Transfer RNA (tRNA) molecules are approximately 80 nucleotides in length. Their secondary structure includes four short double-helical elements and three loops (D, anti-codon, and T loops). RNAcentral also lists the same sequence under 1 other name. The record is from RNAcentral. Lineage: Bacteria; Bacillati; Actinomycetota; Actinomycetes; Kitasatosporales; Streptomycetaceae.
GCUCCGGUAGCCCAACCGGUAGAGGCGAUACCCUCAAAAGGUAUUAAGUGUGGGUUCGAAUCCCACCCGGGGCA